GUCCACGCCGUAAACGGUGGGUACUAGGUGUGGGGGACAUUCCACGUUCUCCGUGCCGUAGCUAACGCAUUAAGUACCCCGCCUGGGGAGUACGGCCGCAAGGCUAAAACUCAAAGGAAUUGACGGGGCCCCGCACAAGCGGCGGAGCAUGCGGAUUAAUUCGAUGCAACGCGAAGAACCUUACCUGGGUUUGACAUAUGCCGGAAACAUCUAGAGAUAGGUGCCCCUUUUUGGUCGGUUUACAGGUGGUGCAUGGCUGUCGU
RNAcentral lists this ribosomal RNA (263 nucleotides) under uncultured bacterium. RNAcentral describes it as "partial 16S ribosomal RNA". It matches the Rfam family "Bacterial small subunit ribosomal RNA", at positions 793 to 1055 of the family's 1533-position model. The record is from RNAcentral.